ACAUGCAAGUCGAACGGUGAAGCAGAGCUUGCUCUGUGGAUCAGUGGCGAACGGGUGAGUAACACGUGAGCAACCUGCCCCUGACUCUGGGAUAAGCGCUGGAAACGGCGUCUAAUACCGGAUAUGAGCUGCGAUCGCAUGGUCAGCAGUUGGAAAGAUUUUUCGGUCUGGGAUGGGCUCACGGCCUAUCAGCUUGUUGGUGAGGUAAUGGCUCACCAAGGCGUCGACGGGUAGCCGGCCUGAGAGGGUGACCGGCCACACUGGGACUGAGACACGGCCCAGACUCCUACGGGAGGCAGCAGUGGGGAAUAUUGCACAAUGGGCGAAAGCCUGAUGCAGCAACGCCGCGUGAGGGAUGACGGCCUUCGGGUUGUAAACCUCUUUUAGCAGGGAAGAAGCGAAAGUGACGGUACCUGCAGAAAAAGCGCCGGCUAACUACGUGCCAGCAGCCGCGGUAAUACGUAGGGCGCAAGCGUUAUCCGGAAUUAUUGGGCGUAAAGAGCUCGUAGGCGGUUUGUCGCGUCUGCUGUGAAAUCCCGAGGCUCAACCUCGGGUCUGCAGUGGGUACGGGCAGACUAGAGUGCGGUAGGGGAGAUUGGAAUUCCUGGUGUAGCGGUGGAAUGCGCAGAUAUCAGGAGGAACACCGAUGGCGAAGGCAGAUCUCUGGGCCGUUACUGACGCUGAGGAGCGAAAGGGUGGGGAGCAAACAGGCUUAGAUACCCUGGUAGUCCACCCCGUAAACGUUGGGAACUAGUUGUGGGGUCCAUUUCCACGGAUUCCGUGACGCAGCUAACGCAUUAA
Molecule: ribosomal RNA, 801 nt
Filed under: Microbacterium oleivorans
Lineage: Bacteria; Bacillati; Actinomycetota; Actinomycetes; Micrococcales; Microbacteriaceae
Description: bacterial SSU rRNA
Rfam family: Bacterial small subunit ribosomal RNA
Source: RNAcentral